This 766-nucleotide ribosomal RNA is filed under the name uncultured Candidatus Poseidoniales archaeon. Its description in RNAcentral is "bacterial SSU rRNA". It matches the Rfam family "Archaeal small subunit ribosomal RNA", at positions 155 to 923 of the family's 1478-position model. Lineage: Archaea; Methanobacteriati; Thermoplasmatota; Candidatus Poseidoniia; Candidatus Poseidoniales. The record is from RNAcentral.
CAUAGUUCACCACCCCUGGAACGGUGGGUGGAUGAAAGCUCCGGCGGCAUAGGAUGGGCCUGCGACGUAUCAGGUUGUAGGGGGUGUAACGUACCCUCUAGCCAUCAACGCGUACGGGUGUUGGGAGACAUAGCCCGGAGAUGGAUUCUGAGACACGAAUCCAGACCCUACGGGGUGCAGCAGGCGCGAAAACUUGGCAAUGCGAGCAAUCGUGACCAGGGAACUCCAAGUGGCUGGGGUAAUACCCAGUUUUUUCUUGACUCUUCAAAGGUCUUGGAAUAAGGGGUGGGUAAGGACGGUGCCAGCCGCCGCGGUAAUACCGGCGCCUCAAGUGGUAGUCGCUUUUAUUGGGCCUAAAACGUCCGUAGCCGGUCUGGUGCAUUCGUGGGUAAAUCAACCCGCUCAACGGGUUGAAUUCUGCGAGCACGGCCAGACUUGGGACCGGGAGAGGUGUGGGGUACUCUCAGGGUAGGGGUAAAAUCCUGUCAUCCUGAGAGGACCACCUGUUGCGAAGGCGCCACACUAGAACGGAUUCGACGGUCAGGGACGAAACCUAGGGGCACGAACCGGAUUAGAUACCCGGGUAGUCCUAGGUGUAAACGCUGUGGACUUGAUGUUGGGGGUGCUCCGAGCACUCUCAGUGUCGAAGCGAAGGUGAUAAGUCCACUGCCUGGGGAGUACGGUCGCAAGGCUGAAACUUAAAGGAAUUGGCGGGGGAGCACUGCAACCUGAGGAUUGUGCGGUUUAAUUGGACUCAACGCCGGAA